UCUGUUUUAUUUUGUCUAUUUAGCAUUUUUGCAGUUUUAAAUAUGUAAUAACGGUGGUUUAUUAUAACUGUUAAUUAUCUGUGAAAGUGCACAAAUGUGGUAAAAUGAAACAAAGCCACUGGACGUGGAUUCUCGGGAUCCUCUAAAAAAUCCACUGAAAAAAUUUCAGUAAAUGACCACCAUUUUACUAAGAUUAUAUUACAUUCCAUAUCAUCUCAUUUCAUUUAAUUCCAUCCCAGUUUAUUAAUGUCUCAAAUUAAUCAUCUUCAUUUCACUCCAUAUUAUCAUUUUUCAUAACAAUAAGAAUAUAAAUUAAAAUAAGACAUGACUUAAAGGUCUUAGUUACCAGGUCAUACAAUCCCUUAAAAUAUAUAUAUAUUUUAUAUAUAAGACUUUUUGGCGGGAACGCGAGGAGUGAAGUUGUGUGAUUUGUUUUAUUUUGUCUAUUUAGUGUUUCUACGGGUUUAAAUGUGUAAUAAUGGUGGUUUAUUAACUGUUUAAUAUCUGUGAAAGUGCACGAAUGUGGGAAAAUGAAACAAAGCCGUUCGACGUAACUUCUCGGGAUCCUCCAAAAAGUCCAUUGAAAAAAUCUCAAUAAACGACCACCAUUUUACUGAUCCCAUAUCAUCUCAUUCCAUUUAAUUUAAUUUCAUCCCAGUUGAUUAAUGUCUCAAAUUCUUCAUUUCACUCCAUUUCAUAAUUUUUCAUAAAAAUACCCAUAUCAUAAUUAUCAUCUCAUCUCAUUUCAAUUCAUUUCAUGCCAUGCCAUGUUUCAUAUUAAAUUAAUCAGCUUCAUUUCAUUUCAUAAUAUCAUAUUUCAUAAAAAAAUCUAUAAAAGGCUAGGCUGUAUCGUGUGAUACCUUUGCCUUUCCAUUUGGAAAAAUAAAACUACUACUACUUUAUAUAUAAUUGAAGACAUGAGUGGAUGAAGGGGUUAAGUACCAUUUUUAAAAUUUUUGAGUUUUUACAUUGAAUGAAGGUGUUAUGUGCCUAUAGACCAUAUUAUACCUUAAAACUCCGGGUUUAAAGGCUAUUUUUAGCAAUUGCAUGUGAUGAAGGAGUUAUGUACGAAGAAAAAAUACAACCGAGGCACUUGUCGAACCGGCACGCGGGACACUUCUUCCUGGUCGCGACGGUGACCGGACAGUUGCCGCCGCGCAGACACAUGUAGUUCUUCCGAUUCUGUACGGUCCGCUUGAAGAAGCCCUUGCAGGAUUCACACGAGAAGAUUCCGUAGUGGAAGCCGCUUAUUUUGUCGCCGCAGAUUGGGCACGGGCUGUAUAGGAUUAAACAAUUGAAUACAUGAGCGGAUGAAGGGGAUAUUUUGAGAAAAUCAGGAUAGAGACUAUUCGUGACAGGAAAUAUCGAGGGAAAGAGACCGCGCGGGCUCAGUCCGACAAGGUGGUUCGACCAAAUCCGCACCACACUAGGGAUCCCAUUCCACGAAGCCCUUCAUGCGGCCAAUGAUCGGAGGCGCUGGAG
This is a long non-coding RNA of Bombyx mori (domestic silkworm), 1482 nucleotides long. RefSeq lists it as uncharacterized. The record is from RefSeq and is a predicted model, not a curated record. The transcript has 2 exons. NCBI's taxonomy places the organism in Eukaryota, Metazoa, Arthropoda, Insecta, Lepidoptera, Bombycidae.